AACGAACGCUGGCGGCAUGCCUAACACAUGCAAGUCGAACGAAGGCUUCGGCCUUAGUGGCGCACUGGUGCGUAACGCGUUGGAAUCUGCCCUUUGGUUCGGAAUAACAUCUGGAAACGGCUGCUAAUACCGGAUGAUGACGAACGUCCAAAGAUUUAUCGCCAGAGGAUGAGCCCGCGUUGGAUUAGGUAGUUGGUGGGGUAAAUGCCUACCAAGCCGACGAUCCAUAGCUGGUCUGAGAGGAUGAUCAGCCACACUGGGACGGAGACACGGCCCAGAAUACUAGGGGAGGGAGGAGUGGGGAAUAUAGGAAAGUGGGCGCAAGGCUGAACCAGCAAUGACGCGUGAGUGAUGAAGGCCGUAGGGUUGUAAAGCUAUUUUACCCGGGAAGAUAAUGACUGUACCAGGAGAAUAAGCCCCGGCUAACUCCGUG
This 433-nucleotide ribosomal RNA is filed under the name uncultured bacterium. RNAcentral describes it as "partial 16S ribosomal RNA". It matches the Rfam family "Bacterial small subunit ribosomal RNA", at positions 29 to 507 of the family's 1533-position model. The record is from RNAcentral.